RNAcentral lists this ribosomal RNA (408 nucleotides) under Triticum aestivum (bread wheat). RNAcentral's name for it is "partial small subunit ribosomal RNA". Lineage: Eukaryota; Viridiplantae; Streptophyta; Magnoliopsida; Poales; Poaceae. The record is from RNAcentral.
AUGUCGAAAAUAUUAGCAAUUUUGUUAUCAGAAGUUCAGAACUAUCUUUGCUUUAACUUUCUUUGGGCCACAAGAUAUAGGUCGACCCUCAGCCCAUGUCUAUCGUCCACACUUUCGUUGGGCCACUGCCUUCAGUUUCCACCGCCGGACCAGGCAAUAAUGGAUUCAGAUGAUGAAGUUGAUAAUGCUUCCAGACCUCCUGCAGCUCCAUGUGUCCAAGGAAUCUUCAAAAAAUUAUUCAUACCCCAGAUCACCUACUUCACGAUGGAACUGCUCAUAUAUGCUAUUUCCAUCAAUGGAGAAGAUGUGACACAUCACAAUAUUUUUAUAGAGCUUUUAACCUUCUUUACCAUGACGAUGAAUUUUCCAGUUAUCAAGCCACAUUUCCAUCGACCGACGUGGCUCUGA